Molecule: long non-coding RNA, 963 nt
Organism: Mercenaria mercenaria
Lineage: Eukaryota; Metazoa; Mollusca; Bivalvia; Venerida; Veneridae
Exons: 3
Source: RefSeq, a predicted model, not a curated record
UAGUUCUUUGAAAUUUUGAAGUUCCCAAUUUAACGCUAUCCCUACUUUGACAUGUUAUAUUCCAAAUGUAUUUAUUGAUACUGUGUACAUUUUUUGUCAUUUCUGAUGUCUUUAACAGUUGUUUUAUGUGUGUUUUUCAGGAUUACAUUUCUGUGCGGAAGGAUUAAAAAACUACACCAGACUGGUGGCCAUGACAGAUGUCAGUGGGAAAUUUAAACAUGGACUAGAUACUUUGAUGUGUAGCAAAAAAGUUCAUCGUUGAUGAUGGUGUUUUUCUGUGAUAUAUUGACUGGGAUAGUAUUACUCUUUAGAAAUACAGAGCUGUCAAUGCUUCAAUUUUGUUGUGAAAUUCACAAUCCAUGUCCAAAAGUGCUUGUUUUACUAUACAGCAAAGAAGGAGAAAUUGUACCGGGCCGACACCUAUAUGGCAAAUUCAGAAAGUGGAAUAUCUCAGCAACCAUAGGGUUUACAGUCAUGAAACUUCACACACUAGUAGCUGAUAACAAUACAAAUCAGUGGCUAAAAGGAUAUUUCCAAGGCGAUGAAUUCCAUAUGUCAGAAGGAAAUUUAGAAUCGUACAACCAGUCAGCAGCUACCCAUAAACCAGACCAACCUAUUAAGUCGAGCGGGCAGAAGCUGUGAUUUUCAGUGUAACACCGCAGAAUGACGGCUAGUUUUCGGAUUACAUUUCUGUGCGGAAGGAUUUAAAAACUACACCAGACUGGUGGCCAUGACAGAUGUCAGUGGGAAAUUUAAACAUGGACUAGAUACUUUGAUGUGUAGCAAAAAAGUUCAUCGUUGAUGAUGGUGUUUUUCUGUGAUAUAUUGACUGGGAUAGUAUUACUCUUUAGAAAUACAGAGCUGUCAAUGCUGCAAUUUUGUUGUGAAAUUCACAAUCCAUGUCCAAAAGUGCUUGUUUUACUAUACAGCAAAGAAGGGGAAAUUGUACCGGGCCGACACCUA